This 465-nucleotide ribosomal RNA is filed under the name uncultured bacterium. RNAcentral's name for it is "partial 16S ribosomal RNA". It matches the Rfam family "Bacterial small subunit ribosomal RNA", at positions 28 to 507 of the family's 1533-position model. The record is from RNAcentral.
GACGAACGCUGGCGGCGUGCUUAACACAUGCAAGUCGUACGGUAAGGCCCUUUCGGGGGUACACGAGUGGCGCACGGGUGAGUAACACGUGAGUAACCUGCCCACAACUUUGGGAUAACGCUAGGAAACUGGUGCUAAUACUGGAUAUGUGCUCCUGCUGCAUGGUGGGGGUUGGAAAGCUCCGGCGGUUGUGGAUGGACUCGCGGUCUAUCAGCUUGUUGGUGGGGUAGUGGCCUACCAAGGCGGCGACGGGUAGCCGGCCUGAGAGGGUGACCGGCCACAUUGGGACUGAGAUACGGCCCAGACUCCUACGGGAGGCAGCAGUGGGGAAUAUUGCACAAUGGGCGCAAGCCUGAUGCAGCAACGCCGCGUGCGGGAUGACGGCCUUCGGGUUGGAAACCGCUUUCAGCAGGGACGAAGCUUUUUGUGACGGUACCUGCAGAAGAAGCACCGGCUAACUACGUG